RNAcentral lists this ribosomal RNA (1306 nucleotides) under Phyllodactylus leoni. RNAcentral's name for it is "partial 16S ribosomal RNA". It matches the Rfam family "Bacterial large subunit ribosomal RNA", at positions 23 to 2535 of the family's 2925-position model. Lineage: Eukaryota; Metazoa; Chordata; Lepidosauria; Squamata; Phyllodactylidae. The record is from RNAcentral.
GCUUAAAAGUCAGCCGCCUUAAACACCACAAACCCGCCCAACAAAAACCCCUAAACCAUUCGUCAUGCUAAGUAUAGGAGAUAGAACUGCACCCCGCGCGCAAUAGCCAACAGUACCACAUGGGAACACUGAAAGACAAUUAACCCUUAAAGCACGAAAAAGCAGNGCUAAACCCCCGUACCUCUUGCAUCAUGGUCUAACAAGCCCUGCCCAGAUAAAGUGCACUAAAACCUGCCCCCCCGAACCCAGACGAGCUACCCCCGGCCAAUCAACAAUGGAUUUACCCCAUCUCUGUGGCAAAAGAGUGGAACCAGCCCCGGGUAGUGGUGAAACGCCUACCGAGCCUGGUGAUAGCUGGUUGCUCAUUAAACGAAUAUAAGUUCGACUCUAGUUUUUUUCCCCCCCGCCACCACUACGCCCUUGUAACCAACUAGAAGCUACACAAUUAGGGACCAGCCUAACUGUGCCCGGACACAGCCCAACUAGCUGGGUCAGCCAAAUAAACACCGCCCCGUAGGCCUCCGAGCAGCCACCCCUAAAAAUAGCGUCAAAGCAAGACACACAAAAAUUUCUUAUGAUUUCCCCAUUCAAGCCCGCCCAUAAAACUGAGCCCCUCUGGCCAACCCCAGAGGAGAUAAUGUUAGAACUAGUAAUAAGAGCCCCCUCUCUCCCCGCACCGCCUUACGCCGGCACGGAUCUCCCACCGGCAGUUACCAACUACACCCCCCCCACAAAAAUAACAAACUGUCACCCCAACACAGGCGUGCCCAAAAGAGCCGGCAAACCACCAUAAAAGGAACUCGGCUAAAAUGCCCCACCUGUUUACCAAAAACAUGGCCUUUAGCAUACCAAGUAUUAAAGGUCCCGCCUGCCCAGUGAACCACUUUUAAACGGCCGCGGUAUUCUAACCGUGCAAAGGUAGCGUAAUCACUUGCCCCUUAAAUAGGGGCUUGUAUGAACGGCUAAAUGAGGGCCUAACUGUCUCCUAUGGCAAGCCAAUGAAACUGCUCUCUCAGUACAAAAGCUGAGAUACACCCACAAGACGAGAAGACCCUGUGGAGCUUUUAAACACCACACUAAACCACCCUGCCCAAUCAUAGUGCUAAACUUUAAGUUGGGGCGACUGCGGAGUAAAACACAACCUCCAUGUAACAGGACAACCAUCCAUUCCAGGCCUACAAGCCAAAAUUAUAACCAACCACUUGACCCAGCAUCGCUGACCACCGGCCCAAGUUACCCCAGGGAUAACAGCGCCAUCCUCCUCAAGAGUCCCUAUCGCCAGGAGGGUUUACGACCUCGAUGUUGG